GUGGCGACCGGCGCACGGGUGAGUAACGCGUAUGCAACCUUUAUAGCAGAGGGGAAUAACCCGGCGAAAGUCGGACUCCUUUCGCAUAAAACAGGGACACCGCAUGGUGAUAUUUGUUAAAGAAAUUCGCUGAUAGAUGGGCAUGCGUUCCAUUAGGUAGUUGGUGAGGUAACGGCUCACCAAGCCGACGAUGGAUAGGGGAACUGAGAGGUUGGUCCCCCACACUGGUACUGAGACACGGACCAGACUCCUACGGGAGGCAGCAGUGAGGAAUAUUGGUCAAUGGGCGAGAGCCUGAACCAGCCAAGUCGCGUGAAGGAAGAAGGAUCUAUGGUUCGUAAACUUCUUUUGCAGGGGAAUAAAGUGCAGGACGUGUCCUGUUUUGUAUGUACCCUGAGAAUAAGGAUCGGCUAACUCCGUGCCAGCAGCCGCGGUAAUACGGAGGAUCCGAGCGUUAUCCAGAUUUAUUGGGUUUAAAGGGUGCGUAGGUGGUUUGAUAAGUCAGCGGUGAAAGUUUGCAGCUUAACUGUAAAAAUGCCGUUGAAACUGUCGGACUUGAAGUGUAAAAUGAGGUAAGCGGAAUGCGUGGUGUAGCGGUGAAAUGC
Molecule: ribosomal RNA, 605 nt
Filed under: uncultured Bacteroidales bacterium
Lineage: Bacteria; Pseudomonadati; Bacteroidota; Bacteroidia; Bacteroidales
Description: bacterial SSU rRNA
Rfam family: Bacterial small subunit ribosomal RNA
Source: RNAcentral